RNAcentral lists this transfer RNA (74 nucleotides) under Anaerolineales bacterium. RNAcentral describes it as "tRNA-Pro". It matches the Rfam family "tRNA". From Rfam's summary of the family: Transfer RNA (tRNA) molecules are approximately 80 nucleotides in length. Their secondary structure includes four short double-helical elements and three loops (D, anti-codon, and T loops). Further hydrogen bonds mediate the characteristic L-shaped molecular structure. tRNAs have two regions of fundamental functional importance: the anti-codon, which is responsible for specific mRNA codon recognition, and the 3' end, to which the tRNAs corresponding amino acid is attached (by aminoacyl-tRNA synthetases). tRNAs cope with the degeneracy of the genetic code in two manners: having more than one tRNA (with a specific anti-codon) for a particular amino acid; and 'wobble' base-pairing, i.e. permitting non-standard base-pairing at the 3rd anti-codon position. Lineage: Bacteria; Bacillati; Chloroflexota; Anaerolineae; Anaerolineales. The record is from RNAcentral.
CGGGGCGUGGCGCAGCCCGGUAGCGCACUUGCAUGGGGUGCAAGGGGUCGGAGGUUCGAAUCCUCUCGCCCCGA